CCUACGGGCGGCUGCAGUGGGGAAUAUUGGACAAUGGGGGGAACCCUGAUCCAGCCAUGCCGCGUGUGUGAAGAAGGCCCUCGGGUUGUAAAGCACUUUCAGUGAGGAAGAACGCCUGGUGGUUAAUACCCAUCAGGAAAGACAUCACUCACAGAAGAAGCACCGGCUAACUCCGUGCCAGCAGCCGCGGUAAUACGGAGAGUGCGAGCGUUAAUCGGAAUUACUGGGCGUAAAGCGCGCGUAGGUGGCUUGAUAAGCCGGUUGUGAAAGCCCCGGGCUCAACCUGGGAACGGCAUCCGGAACUGUCAAGCUAGAGUGCAGGAGAGGAAGGUAGAAUUCCCGGUGUAGCGGUGAAAUGCGUAGAGAUCGGGAGGAAUACCAGUGGCGAAGGCGGCCUUCUGGACUGACACUGACACUGAGGUGCGAAAGCGUGGGUAGCAAACAGGAUUAGAUACCCUAGUAGUC
Molecule: ribosomal RNA, 465 nt
Filed under: Vreelandella stevensii
Lineage: Bacteria; Pseudomonadati; Pseudomonadota; Gammaproteobacteria; Oceanospirillales; Halomonadaceae
Description: partial 16S ribosomal RNA
Rfam family: Bacterial small subunit ribosomal RNA
Source: RNAcentral